This is an RNA transcript of Odobenus rosmarus divergens (Pacific walrus), 1867 nucleotides long. RefSeq lists it as uncharacterized. The transcript has 7 exons. Lineage: Eukaryota; Metazoa; Chordata; Mammalia; Carnivora; Odobenidae. The record is from RefSeq and is a predicted model, not a curated record.
AUGGGAGUGGAGAAGCCUCAUGACAGCCUGCAAGACAAGGGAGCUUCGUCCCCCCUGGUUUACAGCUGUCCUAAGUGCCUGCAGGUCUUCAAGAAUGCUUUCUGUCUCAAGGGUCAUGGCCUGUCCCACUUGGAUGUCCAGCACGGCAUCUCCAGCAUGGGUCUCACAUUUGGGAUUCUGGCCCUGAGUGUGCGGCCCCUGCAGAAAGACCUCCACGCCUUCCACCAGCCCCAGCCCCUGCUGGCUGACCCGCCCUGGGUGGCGUCGGGGCCGGGCGCGGGGCGGCCCGUGGAGGUGACCGCACGGCGCUGGGCUCCCGGCGGCGCCCUGAGGGAUCCCGGCCCGCAAGAGCCGCGCGCACCCGGGAGCCACGGCAUCGCCCACUCGGAGCGCGUGGAGCCUGCAAGCGCUGCAGUGAGGCUUCGCUUCGUUCGUGCACCGGCCCGGCUGGGUGGCCCCGGCCCGCCGGCUCUGUCCUGGAGUCCGAAGGAUGCUCAGCGCCUGACCCAGCACGUGCAGGCUGAAGGGAACUUGCUGGAGGGCGGAGAGGCCACGAGGCGCAGCGGGCGCCCCAAGUGCGUGUCCCCAGGUAGCUGCCGCGCCGCUGCGAGUCGCAUCUGCAGCCCGGCCUUCAAGCGCUCCAGCCACCUGGCGCGGCCCCGCACGAAGCUCCAGGCGCGGCCUGUGGGUGGACCCACUUGCACCGAACGCUGCCUUGGUUUCCCCCUGCGCACCGCGCUCUGCGUGAGCGUUUCCGGACGGUGCCCUUUUCCAGAGACGCCGCCGCCCCUCGCGCCCCCGCGCCCGCGCCCCCCGCGCCCGCGUCCCCGGCGCCGCCGGCCCGGAGCUCCCGGAAGCCUCGGUCCCGCCGCCGCCGGCACUCGCGAGGGGAAGCCCGGGCCGCCCGGGACCUCGGCCCGCUCCUCCGGUCCCGAGAGGCCGCCGCAUCGGCUGACACCCCAGAUGCUGCUGCUGCCGCCUCGGCCACCCCACCCUCGGUCCUCCUCCCCAGAGGCCAUGGACCCACCGCCCCCCAAGGCUCCCCCUUUCCCCAAGACGGAAGGCCCUUCCUCCACUCCAUCCUCGGCGGCAGGGCCCCGGCCUCCGCGGCUGGGCCGCCACCUGCUCAUCGACGCCAACGGGGUGCCCUACACAUACACGGUGCAGCUGGAGGAGGAGCCCCGGGGCCCACCCCAGCGCGAGGCAGCGCCGGGAGAACCCGGGCCGCGCAAGGGCUACAGCUGCCCGGAGUGCGCUCGCGUCUUUGCCAGCCCUCUGCGGCUGCAGAGCCACCGCGUGUCGCACUCGGACCUCAAGCCCUUCACGUGCGGCGCCUGCGGCAAGGCCUUCAAGCGCUCCAGCCACCUGUCGCGGCACCGCGCCACGCACCGCGCGCGCGCAGGCCCGCCGCACACCUGCCCGCUCUGCCCACGUCGCUUCCAGGACGCCGCGGAGCUGGCGCAGCACGUGCGCCUGCACUGAGUUCCAGACCCUCGGGGCCUCGCGAGCCACACAGCGUCACUCCCACACGCGCUCCCUGCCUUACCCGGGGCCUCCGUUUCUCCAUCCGCCCAAAGGGAGAAACACCAGCCCUUCCUUACCUUCCUAGCUGUGUGAUGUAGACCAAGCCGUUGCCCCUCCCUGGGCCUGGGAGCCAGUCUCGGAGCUGGGUUCCGGCCCGGCUGUGCUGCGCGAGCCUUUGCAGGAGACAACGUCUCUGAGCCUUGGUCUUCGGCUCCGAAGUGGUGAACGGUUGUGUGCGCGGUAGAUUUGACAAAAGAGCACGGCGCGGUCUGGCUCAUUUCUGUAUCUCCCCCUUUCCACCCACAGCCCUCACCCCUUACUCAAUAAACAUUCCGCACUCCAC